Molecule: ribosomal RNA, 600 nt
Filed under: uncultured bacterium
Lineage: Bacteria
Description: bacterial SSU rRNA
Rfam family: Bacterial small subunit ribosomal RNA
Source: RNAcentral
AAAAGCUCGAAAGGUGCGGAGUAUCGAAACAGAGAAUUAGAUACCCCUGGUAGUCCCGCACGGUAAACGAAUGGGAUGCCCCGCUGUUUGCGAUAUAGUGUGAGCGGCCAAGAGAAAAUCGUUAAGCAUCCCACCUGGGGAGUACGCCGGCAACGGUGAAACUCAAAGGAAUUGACGGGGGCCCCGCACAAGCGGAGGAAACAUGUGGUUUAAUUCGAUGAUACGCGAGGAACCUUACCCGGGCUUGAACUGCCAGCGAACGAUACAGAGAUGUUGAGGCCCUUCGGGGCGCUGGUGGAGGUGCUGCAUGGUUGUCGUCAGCUCGUGCCGUGAGGUGUCGGCUUAAGUGCCAUAACGAGCGCAACCCUUUUCGUCAGUUGCCAUCAGGUAAUGCUGGGCACUCUGGCGACACUGCCACCGUAAGGUGUGAGGAAGGUGGGGAUGACGUCAAAUCAGCACGGCCCUUACGUCCGGGGCUACACACGUGUUACAAUGGGGCAUACAGAAGGCCGGUCGCCCGCAAGAGCGAUCAAAUCUUAAAAGUGUCCCUCAGUUCGGAUUGGGGUCUGCAACCCGACCCCAUGAAGCUGGAUUCGCUAG